This 913-nucleotide small RNA is filed under the name Pongo abelii (Sumatran orangutan). Its description in RNAcentral is "retained intron". The record is from RNAcentral. Lineage: Eukaryota; Metazoa; Chordata; Mammalia; Primates; Hominidae.
GGGAGAGAGCACUCCCCUAGAGCCAGGAGGUUCUUCUGGGCCACGGGUGGCAGCCAAGAUCCCAGGCUGCCAAGUUUCCUAAGAGAAGGAAGGCCAGCACCUCGCCUCCUUGUCCUGACUUGGGGUUGGGCCAGCACCACAGUCUUUGCACUUCAGAGCCUGGACAGGCCCCGCUCAUCCACCAGCCCGUGCCCGGCCCACUGCCCACUCUCCCCUACUUGAGAGGCCUGGGGUAGGGGCACUGCCCUGGCUUCAAGAUGAGAAGAGCCCCUUUGAGGGAGAAGGGUCCAGAAGGAAUGAGCCCAUCGGCCCCCUGCACGUGGGGGUCCAGGUGACCUGCUCUCAUCUGUAGCUGUGCCACUCCCCUCCCCCGCAACCAGGGCUACCAGUGGCUGAAGGACAAGAUCCUGAGUGAGGAGGGCCGGCGCCAGCAAGCCAAGCUGAAGGAGCUGCAGGCCAUCGCCGAGCGCCUGGGCUGCACCCUGCCCCAGCUGGCCAUAGCCUGGUGCCUGAGGAACGAGGGAGUCAGCUCCGUGCUCCUGGGGGCCUCCAACGCGGACCAGCUCAUGGAGAACAUUGGGGCAAUACAGGUCCUUCCAAAACUGUCGUCUUCCAUUAUCCAUGAGAUUGACAGUAUUUUGGGCAAUAAACCCUACAGCAAAAAGGACUACAGAUCCUAAGCCGCCCCCCACCUGCUCGGACAGUUUCCGUUCCCUCCCAGUCUCUGUCCGCUCGCUUAAGCUGUUUUGAAGCCAAGUGAAGAGUGUGGUUUGCAUCCAAGAGAAAACACCACACUGUGACGUCAUCGGGAAAUGAUCUCCCAAGUCGCUGCCAGACACCACCCACUGCUUCACUGGACGAUGUCGAAGUCCAGUCUGUGCCGGGGACGGCACUGGUUAGGAAGGACAUUCAA